This 429-nucleotide ribosomal RNA is filed under the name uncultured Glomus. RNAcentral describes it as "eukaryotic LSU rRNA". It matches the Rfam family "Eukaryotic large subunit ribosomal RNA", at positions 1 to 428 of the family's 3401-position model. The record is from RNAcentral. Lineage: Eukaryota; Fungi; Glomeromycota; Glomeromycetes; Glomerales; Glomeraceae.
GACCUCAAAUCAGGUAAGGACACCCGCUGAACUUAAGCAUAUCAAUAAGCGGAGGAAAAGAAAAUAACAAUGAUUCCCCUAGUAACUGCGAGUGAAGAGGGACAAGCUCAAAUUUUAAAUCUGUUAGGUUUACCUAACCGAGUUGUAAUUUGAAGAAGCGUUUUCUGCGCGGUUGGUCAGCCCAAGUCCUAUUGAAUGAGGCAUCAUGGAGGGUGAUAAUCCCGUCCGGUUGAUCGAUGCGUUUUACGAUACGCUCCCGAAGAGUCAAGUUGUUUGGGAUUGCAGCUCUCAAAUGGGAGGUAAAUUUCUCCUAAGGCUAAAUAUUGGCGAGAGACCGAUAGCGAACAAGUACCGUGAGGGAAAGAUGAAAAGUACUUUGAAAAGAGAGUUAAACAGCACGUGAAAUUGUUGAAAGGGAAACGAUUGAAG